GCAUCGCCAGCUCAUCGGUAGAGCAUUCGACCGAUAAUCGAAAGGCGGGUGGUUCGACUCCACCGCGAUGCACCA
This 75-nucleotide transfer RNA is filed under the name Acidithiobacillus ferrivorans. RNAcentral describes it as "tRNA-Ile". It matches the Rfam family "tRNA". Rfam says of the family: Transfer RNA (tRNA) molecules are approximately 80 nucleotides in length. The record is from RNAcentral. Lineage: Bacteria; Pseudomonadati; Pseudomonadota; Acidithiobacillia; Acidithiobacillales; Acidithiobacillaceae.